GUUGUUCGCCCUAAAUCAAAUCUAGCUACUCAUAAUAAUGGAAGAAACGCAAGAUAAAAUAAUGGAAGACAUCACCGGGAUAAAUUGACGAAACGUGAAUGAGUUUCCCAAUUUUGCUCUAGCCGUCUUCUCCUUCUUUUCUGCCCAAAUCUGCUGUGUGUAUGCUGUCUAUUGUUUAAUCCACCAGUAGCCAAAACUGUGUUCCUUUUAAUUCAGUCUAUGUGUGUAAUUCUCCUUUUGGCUGCUUCGUUCCUGUGUAUGUUUAAUAUGAUAAUGCAGCAACUGGCCAGCCUUUCAAUGUGCAUGAAGUUAUAUAAUAAUGAUUGAUUGCUUCUUUUUUUUCUCUGCAUGACCGCGUGUCUCUAUAAAAAAAAUUUAGCAUCGGCCAAUUAAUUCUCAUCCUCCUCUCCUCUGCUGGUCCUCUUUUUCUUUUUGUUGGUAUGUGUAUAUAUAUAAUCUAUAAAAAAAACCUAGAGCCACCAAAUUUGACUAACAAAAGGACUCUAGAUUUUUUCCAAAAAACCCCCCCAGUGUGAAUUCAUAUAUAUUCCCCUUUACAGCCACCAUAAUUGAAUCUAAUUCAAACCCUUUAAUGUAAUAUUACCCAUCAAGUCCUCAAUCUUCCAAUAUAAUGCAAUUCAAUCCUUGAGUCCUUUUAUUCUUGUAACACAUGUCUACUUUGAUUCAAUUAAAGUCCUUCACUUUCCAAAAUAUGAAAUUUGAUCUCUAAAUUCUUCAGUCAUCGAUUCAUGGUCCGGAUCAACUAUUGAAUUGUUACAACUUGGUCCCAAAACUUUUGCAUUUCGCUCUUUUUUGCUUAAUUCUUUCAAUUCCCUUUUCAUUCAUAGAAUUUACCUAUUAAAAAUAAAAAACAACAAUUUAGAAUAUAAUUUGUCAAAAAGAACCAUCAAAUAUCUUCAUUUUAAGGUACCGAAUAAGUGUAUAAAAUACACUUAUCAAAUAUCCCCAAACUUAAACAUUUGUUUGUCCUCAAACAAAACUAUAAAUAAAUAAUAAUUAACACACAAGCAUGCAAAAAUAUUGGGUUGGACAAUCUAGCUUCUCACCUCAGAAUUCAAGAUUUAGUGUUUAAAGUCAUAGUUCCAAACUAAUAUCCACUCUUCCAAUACAAAAAUUAACGUGUGUGUGUGAAGAAUCGAGUAAUCAACCAUGACUGCACAAGUUGUUUAAAUUCCC
RNAcentral lists this long non-coding RNA (1197 nucleotides) under Olea europaea subsp. europaea. The record is from RNAcentral. Lineage: Eukaryota; Viridiplantae; Streptophyta; Magnoliopsida; Lamiales; Oleaceae.